This 386-nucleotide long non-coding RNA is filed under the name Homo sapiens (human). RNAcentral describes it as "HSALNT0336534". Lineage: Eukaryota; Metazoa; Chordata; Mammalia; Primates; Hominidae. The record is from RNAcentral.
GUGGUUCUAUGCUGACUUCUGAUGAUCAAAUUUCCCCCUUCUUGAGUUCAUGAAAAAUAUGAAAGUUCAAGGAGUCACUGAUGAAACUCCAAAUAAAGCCAGAGAAGAAAGGUUUAAAAAUUCUCCAACACUUCCUACAGGAAAAUAUGAAGCAAAGGUCAUCAGCUGCAAAUAAGGAAGGCAGAGAAAGUAGUAUUGAAAGUUUAAGGAGAGAAAGAGAUGGUGCCAGCAUUGAAUAUCUCAGUAAAAAGACCGUGGCACUCCAACAAGGACAUGGAGGAGGCGUGUAACCUCAGGCACAUCAUUCCAUUUUCAGAUUCUCAUGUUCUUUAUCUGUACAGUCCAGAUGAUAUUUCCUACCAGGCAGGUGAUUGUCCAUCUCAAAU